GCUCUCUGGAGGAGAGGCUAACAUUCCACAGGGUGAGCUUUUCUUUUGUUGAGGAGACAUUCACAUAACAUACAGCUAGGCAUUUUAAAGGAACCAUUAAACAGCCUUUUGUACAUCCACAGCACUGUGUGCCCAUCACAUCUGUCUAAGUGCAUCACCCUGGAAGAAAGCCCACACCCCUGAGCAGUGUCUCCCCAUCCUCUCCCACCCCCACCAUGGGGUGGACUGUAGGAAACAAGAGGCGGGGCCACGGUGCAUGCGGGUCCUGCUCAGACACCUGCGGUGUUUCUUUCCUGGGCGCCUGGCCUUGCUCCACACCCCCUUUUCCUCACUCCCACCACCCAAGGCUCGCACCUCCCUCAGAAGGGAUCAGUAUGAAGUCCCCCCCGCCGUCUCCCCCCCCCCACCCCGGGCUCUGUGUUUAAGAGCAGGCUUCUCAAACUGUCCUGUGAGGGGAGCUCUCGGGGCCAUGUGUUGGUGGAGGCAAAGGGUGGAGUGAUGCUGCCGCAAGCCAAGGAGUGCUGAGGACGGCCAGCCACCACCAGAAGAUGAAGCGGCACAGAAGGACCCUUCACCUCAGAGCCUUCAGGGGCAGCGCGCGUCUGCCAGCACCUUGAGUUUGGACCGCUGGCUUCCAGAACUGAAUCAGCCCCCCCGUAGAUGUUGCUGAAGUUCUGGAAGUGGGCGGAGGCCGUGCGGGGUGAGCGGGCUUCCUCGCUGGGCAGACACAGGCGGGAAAAGACUGAGCCAGAGGGUCCGUGGGCUCCGGCGCACCCUAUCCGCUCCGCGGGUGCCCGCCGCCUCCGGGAUCCCGCCAAGGCUUCCCCGACGCCAUCCCGCUCGCCCUUGUAAACAGGAAGCUGAAUUUUGCCAACAUCGGAUGAACUUGAACUCCAGAAGGACUGCACUCAGCUUGAAAUUCAGGACCUGGGACUUCAAGAGGGUUCUCGGGGGGCCAGACACCCUCUUCCACGGGGUGAGCAGCCCCAACCCGGUGCAGCCUGGGACCCAGCA
Molecule: long non-coding RNA, 1014 nt
Organism: Myotis brandtii (Brandt's bat)
Lineage: Eukaryota; Metazoa; Chordata; Mammalia; Chiroptera; Vespertilionidae
Exons: 3
Source: RefSeq, a predicted model, not a curated record